This is a long non-coding RNA of Schistocerca gregaria, 1554 nucleotides long. RefSeq lists it as uncharacterized. The transcript is spliced from 3 exons. The record is from RefSeq and is a predicted model, not a curated record. NCBI's taxonomy places the organism in Eukaryota, Metazoa, Arthropoda, Insecta, Orthoptera, Acrididae.
GCCAGCCAUGAGACGGACCGGACGCGGGAGCACAGCAGCUCGCAGAUUUGGUGAGAUAGAAAUGAGAGGCUGUUGUAAAAACGGACUGGAAAAAACUGAGAGAUGCCCAUAGGAAUGCCCUCAAAAGAAGAGAGACAAAAAGUGGUCAAGCUGCAGCAAACUCAAAAAAGUGGAAGUACGAGAAAGAAAUGGAAUUUUUACUUUCCGUAUUGCCAGCUCACAGCCUACACGACAGUAAUAUUCCUGAUAUGGAUGACACGCAAGUGCCUGAAAAUCAAUCAGCAUUGUUAAUGCUGAAGCUCCUGCUGCUCCUGAUGAUGAUGAAUUUUCCAACUCUGGUCAUGAUGUCAACACAGUCCGGAACAAACCCAAAGGAGUCGACAAAAUUCUGAAUUUUCUGAAAAAUAAAGAGAUAAACAAACUUGUUCGCUCUGUCCCUGACGAAUUAGAUUUGUUUUUUGGUAGCAUAUCAAUAUCGGUAAAAAAAUUGCCUCGAAGGUUACAAAACAGAGUAAAGAGAGAAGUUUUAGAGGCAGUAAACCGAGCUGAAGAUGAACAUGAUUCACUGAUGAGUCUAAUAACACCGGCAGUGCGUCAAACUAGCUCUCCACUGGUGUCUCCAAGUACCUCCUCUGACAGCUCAACAUGGUCAGGUGGUAACUAUUCAAACCAGCCCACGAUCCUUCACCAUCAAAGUGAAACAUCACUUACAGAAAGUGGCUCAUUACUUCGAUCACUGCAAGAAGAUACAGAUGUUGAUUUGUUAGCGGAAAACUAUUCAGGACAAGCAACUGAAGACAAUCUUCAAAUACUUUAAGCACAAACCUCAUUAACUUUAAACUCAAACAAAAUAUAUCUUAUGCUGAUUUCUUUUUGUGGCUGUGGCUGGUUAAUAUAUGUCUAUCAUCUUUUACAUUUUGUCUUAUCACGGCAGCUAACAAAUAUACUUGUGUAAUCUUACUGUAAUGAAGAUAUAUUUUUACUCCAUUUCCUACAACCUUAUACUAACAGGCUACGUUUCUAUUUUGACAUUAUGGGAAAGGAAUUGUUACCUUAGACAAAUAGCUAGCCGUUCCUCAGGAGGUAUUGAUUUUCUGUAAUUUGUGUCCUGUUUCUUAAUGUCACUGCCAAUGAGGGAUAAAACUUCAUUGAACUGGUCUUCAUUAAGCCUGAAGUAACUUCUAAACUUUUCAUCGUCAAGCUGUAAAUCUUGCAUUAGGUGGUGGUAUUCGCCAUACACUGUUGUUCUAACAUUUAUCGGAUGAACCCAAUUCGAUUUAUUUGACACUGAAUACAACAACAACAGUUCAUCAUCACUAUCGCUACUUGAACUACAGUCCAUCCACGGCACACUGAAGUUGAUGUCUGGCUCACACCACGGCACACUGAACGCCAUUUCUGGUACCAUGCACAAACUGUACUCACGUUAGCACACCAUCUCAACAACUGAGCAAAUACGAAGAUGGGAUAGAAAACGUAGCUCAUAAUACGUAGCUUUCGGUUUGAAGGGUACGUAUCUCUAGUCAGGAUACGUGCUACGUCCUGCGACGUCUU